UUAAAAAUAUUAUUUUUUUAUUAUUAUUAUUAUGCUUUACUUGUACACCUCUCGGUUUUUACAAGACUGAUUCCUCUUUUUCUCCUAGCUCUACGCUUUUUCUAUUUCUCAUAUUGGACCUCAGCAAGUCCCACCCGACACUUCAUUUCUACUUUUUGCGGCUGUGGACCAACUUGUGCUUUCUGUACCAUAU
Long non-coding RNA from Cotesia glomerata, 193 nucleotides. RefSeq lists it as uncharacterized. The transcript is spliced from 3 exons. NCBI's taxonomy places the organism in Eukaryota, Metazoa, Arthropoda, Insecta, Hymenoptera, Braconidae. The record is from RefSeq and is a predicted model, not a curated record.